ACCCGCUGAAUUUAAGCAUAUUACUAAGCGGAGGAAAAGAAACUAACAAGGAUUCCCUCAGUAGCGGCGAGCGAAGGGGGAAGAGCCCAGCGCCGAAUCCCCGUCCGGUGGGCGUGGGAAAUGUGGCGUACAGAAGACCUCUUGCCCGGCGCGGCUCGGUGGGCCCAAGUCCUCAUGAUCGAGGCUCAACCCGUGGACGGUGCGAGGCCGGUAGCGGCCCCCGUCGCGCCGGGGUUCGGUCUUCUCGGAGUCGGGUUGUUUGGGAACGCASCCCAAAGUGGGUGGUAAACUCCAUCUAAGGCUAAAUACCGGCACGAGACCGAUAGCAUACAAGUACCUUAAGGGAACGUUGAAAAGAACUUUGAAGAGAGAGUUCA
RNAcentral lists this ribosomal RNA (377 nucleotides) under Argolebias nigripinnis. Its description in RNAcentral is "partial 28S ribosomal RNA". It matches the Rfam family "Eukaryotic large subunit ribosomal RNA", at positions 23 to 391 of the family's 3401-position model. The record is from RNAcentral. Lineage: Eukaryota; Metazoa; Chordata; Actinopteri; Cyprinodontiformes; Rivulidae.